GGAGCCCCCCGCGGUACGGAUCGUUUUAGGGUUUCACCUCUAUAAAUAUCUUUGUAAGCCGCAGGAGAUAUCUAUCUCUAUUGUAAAUCUCCUGCGAUCUGUAACCACCCAAAAAAUAGUGAGAAGUUGCCGGCCGGCGCCCGUGGUUUUUUCCCCUUCACUUUGGAGGGGUUUUCCACGUUAAAUCCGUGUCUACUCUGUGAUUGAUCCUAUUUGUGUCGCAUUUAUUUAUAACAAGUGGUAUCAAAGCUUUGGUUGUUUGGUGAUCGGUGUGCUAGGGUUUCCUGCCGGCGCACGGAUGUCGACGACAAUGAAGUACGAUCUUCCGCUGCUGGAUCUCGACACGCGUUUCUCGCUGUGGCAGGUGAAGAUGCGGGCAAUUCUCUCGCAAUCUGAUCGCGACCUGGAUGAUGCCCUAGAUGGAUUUGGCAACAAGGAUGCCAGGACGUGGACAGAUGAGGAGAGGCGCAAGGAUCGUAAGGCGCUCGCACAUAUUCACCUUCAUCUGUCUAACAAUAUUCUGCAGGAGGUUCUGGCAGAGAAGACUGCCGCUGCUCUCUGGUUGAAGCUGGAGUCGAUCUGUAUGUCAAAGGAUCUGACCAGCAAGAUGCAUGUCAAAAUGAAGUUGUUCUCCCACAAGUUGCAGGAAGGAGGAUCCGUUCUGACGCACAUAUCGGUGUUUAAGGAGAUCGUGGCCGAUCUGACGUCUAUGGAGGUAAAGUUUGAUGAUGAAGACCUAGCUCUUCUUCUCCUGUGUUCCCUCCCUGCAUCGUUUAGCAAUUUUCGAGAUACCAUCCUAUACAGUCGUGAUACUCUAACCGUGGCUGAAGUGUAUGAAGCUUUGACUGCGAAAGAAAAAAUGAGACAGAUGGUUAACUCGGAAGAUGCUGCUGGCUCGAGUGGAGAAGCUUUGUAUGUCCGUGGCCGCACUGAUCAGAAAAAGUCCAACUCAGGUGGCAAAGGAAAGGGGAAGAACCAGAGGGGUCGCUCCAAGUCAAGGGGGCCAUCCGAUGAAUUAUUUUGCAAAUACUGCAAGAAGACGAACCAUGUAAUUGAGAACUGUUACAAACUGCAGAACAAGGAGAAGAGGAACAAGGAGAAGGGUAAGACUGGAGGUACUGUCUCUGUUGCAUCCGAAAAUAAUUCUGAUAAUGGUGAUGUUCUUAUUGCCUUUGCUGGUUGUGCUGCUGAUGAUGCCCAAUGGAUCCUCGAUUCUGCUUGCUCAUAUCAUGUUUGCACUAAAAAAUCUCUGUUUAGUACCUAUGAAGCUGUGCAGAACGGAGGUACUCUUCGGAUGGGUGAUAAUUCCCCUUGCACUGUUGUUGGCAUGGGCACCGUGCAGAUCAAGAUGUUCGAUGGGAUUGUACGCACAUUGACUGAAGUACGACAUGUUCCAUCCAUGUCCAGGAACCUCAUCUCUCUGAGUACUCUGGACACAAAGGGCUACAAGUAUACCGCCGGUGACGGUGUCAUGAAGGUAACAAAAGGCUCUCUUGUGGUUAUUAAAGGUGAUUUGAAAGCUGAAAACUUAUAUGUGCUUCGAGGUAGUUCUGGCUCUGCUAAUGCUGUUGUUGCAUCUGAUUCUGAGACUACUAAAAUUUGGCAUAUGCGCCUUGGCCAUAUGAGUGCACCUGGUUUGGCAGAAUUGAGCAAGAGAGGCCUUCUUGAUGGCUGCCAUGCUGAUACUCUUGAUUUCUGUGAGCACUGUGUUUUCGGUAAGCAUAAAAGGGUAAAAUUCAGUUCUGCUGUUCAUAAUACCGAAAAUAUUCUUGAUUAUGUUCAUGCUGAUUUGUGGGGGCCGUCACGUAUACCUUCACAUGGUGGUGCUCGUUACAUGUUGACUAUCAUUGAUGAUAAUUCACGCAGAGUUUGGCCUUAUUUUCUUAAGCAAAAAUCAGAUGCCUUUGAGUCUUUCAAGGUUUGGAAGACUAUGGUUGAGAAGCAGACUGAGAGGAAGCUGAAGGUUCUGAGAACUGACAAUGGUAUGGAGUUUUGUUCUGGUGAUUUUAACUCUUUCUGCAGGAAGGAGGGCAUUGUGAGGCACCACACUAUACCAUAUACACCUCAGCAGAACGGUGUGGCAGAGCGUAUGAAUAGAACAAUAAUCUCCAAGGCUCGGUGUAUGCUGUCCAACUCAGGUUUGAGCCACAAGUUUUGGGCUGAGGCCGCUUCCACUGCUUGUCAUUUGAUCAAUUGUUCACCAUCCACUGCUAUCGAUAAGAAAACUCCAAUUGAGGUUUGGUCUGGUUCCCCCUAUGAUUAUUCUCAGUUGAGAGUGUUUGGUUGUACUGCAUAUGCACAUGUUGAUAAUGGUAAACUUGAGCCUAGAGCAAUUAAGUGUGUUUUCUUGGGUUAUGGAUCUGGUGUUAAAGCAUAUAAAUUGUGGAAUCCUGAUACACAGAAGGCAUUUUUUAGUAGAAACGUUGUGUUCAAUGAAUCUGCCAUGUUUCCUUCGGUUGUAUCUACCAGUGCUACUAACCAGAAUUCUGAGUCUAUCAGUGUGCAGGUGGAGCACGGAGGGGAUGUUGAUGAUCAUGCUCCACCAUCUGCUGAACCUGCUGAAAAUUAUGUUUCUGAAAUUUCAUCACCUGUUGUGGAGUCUCAUCCCCAGUCUCUUGCUGAAGGCCGAACUAGGAGGCAGAUAGUUCGGCCCCAAAGACUGAUUCAAGAGUGCAAUGUUGCUUUUGCUUUAGCUGUUGCUGAAGAAGUUGAUAAUGUUCAGGAACCAUUGAAUUAUUCAGAAGCUAUAUUGUGUACUGAUAGUGAAAAGUGGAUGGGUGCUAUGCAUGAAGAAAUGGAGUCUCUUGAUAAGAAUGGCACUUGGGAACUAGCUCGGCUGCCUUCUGGUAAAAAGGCAAUUAAGUGCAAAUGGAUCUUCAAAAGAAAAGAAGGUAUGACUCCAAAAGAGCCUCCGCGCUUUAAAGCAAGGCUAGUUGCAAAAGGUUUUAGUCAGAUUCCAGGAAUUGAUUACUCUGAUGUCUAUUCUCCUGUUGUCAAGCAUAGUUCAAUUCGUACCUUUCUUAGUCUUGUUGCUGUACAUGACUAUGAGCUUGAACAGUUAGAUGUGAAAACUGCUUUCUUACAUGGUGAUUUGGAGGAGGACAUUUAUAUGGACCAGCCAGAGGGGUUCAUUGUUCCUGGAAAAGAAGAUUAUGUGUGCAGGUUGAAGAAGUCCUUAUAUGGUCUGAAACAAUCUCCCAGACAAUGGUAUAAGAGGUUUGAUUCAUUUAUGCUUUCUAAGGGCUUUCAGAGGUCUCAAUAUGAUAGUUGUGUUUAUCUAAAAUUUGUUAAUGGAUCACCUACAUAUUUGCUGCUAUAUGUUGAUGAUAUGUUGAUUGCUGCCAAGAGCAUGAAGGAAAUCACUGCUUUAAAGGCACAGCUUAGUAGCGAAUUUGAUAUGAAGGAUCUGGGUGCUGCAAAGAAAAUCCUUGGCAUAGAGAUAGUCAGGGAUAGGAAGUCUGGACUGCUGUACUUGAGCCAGAAGAAUUAUAUUGAGAAGGUCCUUCGUCGUUUCAACAUGCAAAAUACUAAACCUGUGAGUACUCCGUUGGCUCCUCAUUUUAAACUGUCUGCUAAACAGUGUGCUGAAACUGAUGCUGAGCUUGAAUAUAUGUCAAAAGUUCCAUACUCUAGUGCUGUUGGGUCACUCAUGUAUGCUAUGGUUUGUUCUCGUCCUGAUUUGUCUCAUGCUAUGAGCGUUGUUGCUAGAUACAUGUCUAAUCCUGGUAAAGAGCAUUGGAAAGCUGUUCAGUGGAUUUUCAGAUAUCUACGUGGUUCUUCUAGUGCUUGUUUAUGUUUUGGUAAAUCUGGAGAUGGUCUGAUUGGCUAUGUUGAUUCAGAUUAUGGUGGUGAUUUAGACAGGAGGAGAUCUCUUUCAGGUUAUGUCUUUACUAUUGGAGAUUGUGCUGUGAGUUGGAAAGCUCGUUUACAGGAUACUGUUGCUUUGUCUACCACAGAAGCUGAGUAUAUGGCAAUUGCAGAAGUUACUAAGGAAGCCUUAUGGUUGAAAGGUAUAUAUUCAGAGCUAUGUGGAAUUAAGUCUUGCAUUACCAUCUAUUGUGAUAGCCAGAGUGCCAUUCAUCUCACCAAAGAUCAGAUGAUUACUGAGAAAUCCAAACAUAUUGAUAUUCGUUAUCACUUCAUUCGUGAUAUCAUUGAUAAAGGGUUGGUGAAGGUAUGCAAGAUCAGUACUGAUAAUAAUCCAGCUGAUAUGAUGACGAAGCAUGUUUCUGUUGCUAAGUUUGAGCUAUGCUCAAACUUAGUUGGUAUUAUAAAUUAGCCCUUAGUGGCUGUUGGCGCCGGCAAGAUGAUGAUGCAUUUGUUUAAGGUGGAGGUUGCUAUUAUGAUGCUACAAGGAAUUUGUCUCAAGGUGGAGUUUGUUGAGUUUGUGAUCCAAAUUCUGAAGAAGGCGGCCAAGUUGGCGAGCGAAGCGGAGGCCCGUCGCCGGGAGGCUUGGGCCGGAGCGCAGCGAGGCCAACUGGCCUUCCCACGGCCCAGGGACGCCUGGGGGGUGCGGGGGGCGGAGCCCCCCGCGGUACGGAUCGUUUUAGGGUUUCACCUCUAUAAAUAUCUUUGUAAGCCGCAGGAGAUAUCUAUCUCUAUUGUAAAUCUCCUGCGAUCUGUAACCACCCAAAAAAUAGUGAGAAGUUGCCGGCCGGCGCCCGUGGUUUUUUCCCCUUCACUUUGGAGGGGUUUUCCACGUUAAAUCCGUGUCUACUCUGUGAUUGAUCCUAUUUGUGUCGCAUUUAUUUAUAACA
This 4757-nucleotide long non-coding RNA is filed under the name Zea mays. RNAcentral's name for it is "long non-coding RNA (ZMAY_LNC003620)". Lineage: Eukaryota; Viridiplantae; Streptophyta; Magnoliopsida; Poales; Poaceae. The record is from RNAcentral.